UGUGCAAAAUGGGUUAGAAAUUUCGACGUCCAAAUUGGACCUUUUUGAGACCUCGCUCUGAUGUUUAGAAUUUGGACGUCAUCUGAAAACCAAUCCAGAUGUUGGCAUACCGUGCAAAAUGGAUCCAAGAUUUAGACGUCAUUAUUGGACCUCUAUUAGACGUUGAAAUGUCAUCCACAUUUGUACCUCAUUUCGAAAAUAUACGUUAAAUAGAUGUCAUUUCGACGUUGCAUUAGGCAGCGGGAGCUUUACUGGUUGCAAAUCUGGGUUACAGCUUCAAAAUGCCACAAGUGUAACAAAGACUGGUCUGAAACUGCUAAGGUAUAUAUAGCUGUCCACGUUUCCAAACAUUCUUCUGGCAUCUUGUUGACCUGAAGGAGAGUCCAUUUUUAAGAACAAAGGACAACAUAUUUUAAGGCAUUAGUUGAAAAUGUAGAGAGCUCAUAUAGGGAAAUACCACAGCACGACAUAUUCUGGGGGACUGACUUUUGUUAAAAAUGUGUACAAGGUCCUUGUUGAGGAUGGUCGUCAGGGGCCAGCGGCUCCAGGAAUGUAACACCACAGUAUUCAAGGUAUUUGAGUGACACCGCUCCACCACCCUAAAGGAUGACAUGACUGGCUAAAGAGAAGACUCCGAACAAAAACCAUCAAAGUCUGCUUUUAUCAACAACACCCUGUCCCAGCUCUUAUAGAAUCAUCAGGGUUUUACAGAAUAACCUAAAAGUCCUCCACAAGGGAGGAAUUAUUUCUAAAGAAAGUGUCAGACUGAGUAUAAAGGGCUGAAUGUGGUUUUUCAUUUGCUAACAGCCCGUCUUCAGGUGUCACCGACUGUCCGCAGUAAUCCUGCUCAUAACAGAAAGCACUGCAUUCAAUUUCCCAUCCAGAGCGGCUCUGCAGCACAGAAACUCAAUAACAGAUGACAGUGUCCAGUUUCCAGUAGUGUGGAAAAUGAAGGCUGCCUGUGGAAGUGAGAAAAAUCCUCUGGCUGUCCCCUGAGCACACUGAGCUGGGCGGGGAGGGCAGUGUCACUGUGGCGCCUGAUAGCCGCCGCCUCUGCAUUUGCAUAGCGACAGGUUCCUGUGUGGGUCUGCCUCUGUGUCUGUCUCCUCUGUGUCUGUCAGUCUGCGCCUGCCUUCUGGGACGGCAGGUCGAAGCCUCCCCCACAGCUGGACAUGAGAAGAUGGAGCUGACAGACGUGACCCCGCUGUUCCAGGAGGGAGGGAUGUUUUUUCUUUUUUCUUCAGAUUUCUGAAAUGUCGCAAAGAUGCAUGGUCCUGCCAGCCGCUAUGAUUGAGAGCAGCGACCGUCUCUGCUUUUCUGUGUAAAUGAGCUGAAUUUAUUUCCUAACCGCCUCAACUUCUGUGUGGUUUGAGUGAUGCACGGGCGACUGACCCCCUGCAUAAACUGUCAGAGGAGGAGGGGAGGAGGGCACGGUCAAGGUUAAACGCUGUCCUCCAUCUCAGCUGCCAGAGGUCGUGUUACGUCUGGGUGGUUCAAGUUACCUUUGCCAUGGUGUGAUCAGAAUCAAACUCAGCACAGAGGAGGGUACUAAUGGGUCUUUAUUUUAAGUACAGUGACACCACUCUCUUUUUUUUCUGUCAUUAAGUUAUGGGGGCAUAGAGGCCAAAUAAAAAGAGGCACUAAGAAGUUAUUAAUCACAACUAAGCAUGGUCCUUUCAGAAAAUGUUUAACACCUCUAGGAGACUCAACAUUUCUUCUGUGAAGAUGUUACACCUCAUUCACAACCAUUCUUGAGGAGAAAUUUUCUCUUACAACUUUCAGAAAUAGAUAAAUAAAUUGUCCCAUUCAUAUAUCUUUUGCUUCUGCUGGUCUGAGUAUUUCUGAUUGAAUGUUGUUUCCAGCUUUGGUCACAUGAGCACAGAGCCGGCCCAAGGCAUAAGCGAAGUAAGCGCCGCGGCCAGUAGGGAGCCCCAAGAGCAAUAUAAAAUAUAUAUGUUUUUGAAUUUUUUUUUUUUUUUUUGCAUGUACGAGUGAUGCUUGCUAUAUGAUCAAAUAUAAAUUAUUGCAAGAAUAAAAUAAAAUAAAAUAAAGUAAAAACAUUUUAGUGCAGCUGCUAAUGUAGGCCAAUGUUUCUUAUUGCCGAUGUGUCAAAUCUCCGCUAUCGUUAUGUGCCUUCUGCUGUGCAAUAUGCACUGAGCAUCCAAAGCACAGGUAGUUGUGGGCAAAACAAUUGCGAAAAAUGACAUAUC
Non-coding RNA from Xyrichtys novacula (pearly razorfish), 2210 nucleotides. The record is from the annotation of a GenBank genome assembly. NCBI's taxonomy places the organism in Eukaryota, Metazoa, Chordata, Actinopteri, Labriformes, Labridae.